GCCUGGGUGGCUCAGUCGGUUAAGCGUCUGACUUUGGCUCAGGUCAUGAUCUCACGGUCUGUGAGUUCGAGCCCCGCUUCAGGCU
Molecule: transfer RNA, 85 nt
Filed under: Felis catus (domestic cat)
Lineage: Eukaryota; Metazoa; Chordata; Mammalia; Carnivora; Felidae
Rfam family: tRNA
About the family: Transfer RNA (tRNA) molecules are approximately 80 nucleotides in length. Their secondary structure includes four short double-helical elements and three loops (D, anti-codon, and T loops).
Source: Rfam by way of RNAcentral